UACGGAGGUGGCAAGCGUUGCUCGGAUUCACUGGGUGUAAAGGGCAAGUAGGCGGUCACGUAAGUCGGGUGUGAAAUCCCACGGCUCAACCGUGGAACUGCGCUCGAAACUGCGAGACUUGAGGACAGGAGAGGCGAAUGGAAUUCUCGGUGUAAGGGUGAAAUCUGUAGAUAUCGAGAGGAAGACCAGUGGCGAAGGCGAUUCGCUGGCCUGUAUCUGACGCUGAGAGGCGAAAGCUAGGGUAGCAAACAGG
RNAcentral lists this ribosomal RNA (253 nucleotides) under uncultured bacterium. RNAcentral's name for it is "partial 16S ribosomal RNA". It matches the Rfam family "Bacterial small subunit ribosomal RNA", at positions 524 to 776 of the family's 1533-position model. The record is from RNAcentral.